RNAcentral lists this ribosomal RNA (492 nucleotides) under uncultured bacterium. RNAcentral's name for it is "partial 16S ribosomal RNA". It matches the Rfam family "Bacterial small subunit ribosomal RNA", at positions 29 to 507 of the family's 1533-position model. The record is from RNAcentral.
AGUGAACGCUGGCGGUAGGCCUAACACAUGCAAGUCGAACGGCAGCACAGUAAGAGCUUGCUCUUACGGGUGGCGAGUGGCGGACGGGUGAGGAAUACAUCGGAAUCUACUUUUUCGUGGGGGAUAACGUAGGGAAACUUACGCUAAUACCGCAUACGACCUACGGGUGAAAGCAGGGGAUCUUCGGCCCUUGCGCGAUUGAAUGAGCCGAUGUCGGAUUAGCUAGUUGGCGGGGUAAAGGCCCACCAAGGCGACGAUCCGUAGCUGGUCUGAGAGGAUGAUCAGCCACACUGGAACUGAGACACGGUCCAGACUCCUACGGGAGGCAGCAGUGGGGAAUAUUGGACAAUGGGCGAAAGCCUGAUCCAGCCAUACCGCGUGGGUGAAGAAGGCCUUCGGGUUGUAAGGCCCUUUUGUUGGGAAAGAAAAGCAGCAGGUUAAUACCCCGCUGUUCUGACGGUACCCAAAGAAUAAGCACCGGCUAACUUCGUG